UUUCCGUAGGUGAACCUGCGGAAGGAUCAUUCAUAAUAAGUGUUUUAUGGCACUUUUUUAAAUCCAUAUCCACCUUGUGUGCAAUGUCAGGGUUGAUUUUCUCUCGAGAGGAUCAGCCCCAAACAUCAACUAUAUCUCAACUCUUUGUCUGAAAAAUAUUAUGAAUAAAACAAUUCAAAAUACAACUUUCAACAACGGAUCUCUUGGCUCUC
This 212-nucleotide unclassified non-coding RNA is filed under the name plant metagenome. RNAcentral describes it as "partial contains small subunit ribosomal RNA, internal transcribed spacer 1, and 5.8S ribosomal RNA". The record is from RNAcentral.